AGACACCAGCUGAGGGUUUGCUUUGCUGUCUGCGCCACAGAGUUGUGCCCGACAGCUACACAAGUUUCUCAACAAGUUAAAAAGUAACCAUGAAGUUCUGUUUGUGGAUAGUUUUAUUUCUUUUUCUUCUUACUGGAGCAUUAACACAAGAUUUUGACCUGUCUGAUGCUUUGGAUGAUGUAGGUCUUGACCUGUCUGGUUUUUUGGAUGACUUAGUCCCACCAACUCCUGCAAAACCCAAAGAGCAGCCCAAGCCUCCAAAGCAGCCUGAUGGUGGCUUUGGACUGGACCUGGAGGAUGCAUUUGGCCCAGAAAAACCCACUGGAGGAGGUCUUGACCUGUCUGAUUUUUUGGAUGACUUAGUCCCACCAACUCCUGCAAAACCCCAAGAGCAGCCCAAGCCUCCAAAGCAGCCUGAUGGUGGCUUUGGACUGGACCUGGAGGAUGCAUUUGGCCCAGAAAAACCCACUGGAGGAGGUCUUGACCUGUCUGAUUUUUUGGAUGACUUAGUCCCACCAACUCCUGCAAAACCCAAAGAGCAGCCCAAGCCCCCAAAGCAGCCUGAUGGUGGCUUUGGACUGGACCUGGAGGAUGCAUUUGGCCCAGAAAAACCCACUGGAGGAGUUGAGUCCACAAACCUCAACUCAAACAUCUUGCCUGAAAGAUCUGGACCAAAAGCUGAACAGAAUCAUUGAGAAUCAAGAGAAGCUGCUGAAACUGCUGGAGCAGCAGCGCCCUCGCAACGCAUCUCGCUUUUGGUCCACACGCUGAGUGUGGACAUACAGGAAGACAUCUACCUGCAGAGGACAAGUCACCAGGGUGAUGAUGACUGGUGGGGGAAUCUCAGUUUGAAGAUUCUUUAUUAAACUUCAAUAAAUUAAUAAAGCAUUAUAAGCAUUAACUGUAAACAUUUGUGUACAUUCAUGUGGAUUGAAAUGAAUAGUAAACCAAAAGCGGUUACAAACUGAGGGAAUGAGUCUCCCUGGUGGGGUGCAGAGUGAUUGCAGGAGAGAACACACUUGCGGAGACAACAUUUGAACCUAAAGCUGAACAGAACAUUUAACCUGACAAGCACAGACAACAUUGUUAAUGCAUGGAAUCACAGUUAUAGCAGAAUGGAGCCCUUGUUAAUGCUGUAAGUGCCACUGGUGCUAUUCCAAGACAUCUGAUGCAUUAAUGAAUAUCAAAGAAACAAAAGUGGUCUGAUGUUUGCAAAAAUGUAUCAACAUUCAGGUUAGCAAAUGUUAUUCACAAAGCAAAUUAACAUCUAAUGCACAGGGCUGACUUAGAAGAAAAUCUGGUGAUGCUGAUCAAGUCCCAGAUGUGAAGAAACAUAUUGUUUGGCGACAGUUUGGAAGAAGAGCAUUGUGUCUUUUUGGCAAAUUUUAGCUUAACUUAGCUAUAUUAUUUUGUAUUGGCACAACAGAAACUUAGAGGAAAGAAGUGAAAAGAAACACAAUUCAUGUUUGACAAUGUAAUUUUAAUGAAAUUCAAUAAUGCAUCUUGAUGUAGUUUUCUGUAUGAGGCCUUUUUAAGUGACACAGAAGGAAAUCCUGAUAACAGUAACUAUGGUUUCAUUUCAUUAAAGGCCUGAACAUAUGACUUAGUGAUAUGACCUGUUGUGGGUGAUUGGACCUCCCCUGUCUGUGUGCAUGGACUCUGCACAGACUUAUACAUUCCCUCUGGCAGCCCUUUCAGCUCUGUUGCACAAACUGAGUCUGUCCCAGCAGCUCCCAACAGUGUCGAUAUCUACAUGAUAUCAAGUAUGCAGUUCGGCACGAUGUUAAAGUGCUCAUGAUGCUCAAGUUAAAUACAUAAAUGAUUAAAAUGCCACUAAAUGCACCAAAAAUGAUAAAAUAAGUAAAUGUUAAUAAAAUAAAGGCGUUAAUUGAUUUAAAAAA
RNA transcript from Acanthopagrus latus (yellowfin seabream), 1901 nucleotides. It is a transcript of the gene named microtubule-associated protein homolog maph-1.1-like, with no coding region annotated. Lineage: Eukaryota; Metazoa; Chordata; Actinopteri; Spariformes; Sparidae. The transcript is spliced from 16 exons. The record is from RefSeq and is a predicted model, not a curated record.